RNAcentral lists this ribosomal RNA (514 nucleotides) under uncultured bacterium. RNAcentral describes it as "partial 16S ribosomal RNA". It matches the Rfam family "Bacterial small subunit ribosomal RNA", at positions 28 to 523 of the family's 1533-position model. The record is from RNAcentral.
GACGAACGCUGGCGGCAUGCCUAAUACAUGCAAGUCGAGCGAACAGAUGAAGUGCUUGCACUUCUGACGUUAGCGGCGAACGGGUGAGUAACACGUAAGGAAUCUACCUAUAAGCGGGGGAUAACAUUCGGUAACGGGUGCUAAUACCGCAUAAUAUCUUCUUCCGCAUGGAAGAAGAUUAAAAGACGGCUCUGCUGUCACUGAUAGAUGACCUUGCGGUGCAUUAGUUGGUUGGUGGGGUAACGGCCUACCAAGACGAUUAUGCGUUGCCGACCUGAGAGGGUGAUCGGCCACACUGGGACUGAGGCACGGCCCAGACUCCUACGGAAGGCAGCAGUAGGAAAUCUUCCGCAAUGGACGAAAUUCUGACGGAGCAACUCCUCGUUAGUGAUGAAUGUUUUCGGGUCGUAAAACUCUGUUAUUAGGGAAGAACAAGUGCUAGUUGAAUAAGCUGGCACCUUGACGGUACCUAACCAGAAAGCCACGGCUAACUACGUGCCAGCCGCCGCGGUAA